ACCGAGCCCUGGCCUAUUGGCUAAGGAGAGCUUAAAGGGGACAUUUGGGCUCGGUUUUGAGCCCUACUCUGCCCCAACCCCAUGUACUCAAAAAAAAAUUUCCCCUUCCAGAGCUUGAUUAUUAAGCCCCAUUCAUAGCCACUACGUCAAGGGGCGGGGGAGAGGUCUGGAAGCGGAAUUUAUAUCUAAAAGAUGUAAUAAUAAUUAAUACCAGACAAAUGAUAAAUGUUGAAUGUUUUAAUCUAAAAAUUGUGUAGGUGUUGGAGUACUGGACUGGUAGUAGUACGCUGCAAAUGUCUGUUGCUGUAAUGACAAGAGCUUUCCCUGAUAUUCCAAAAGCCAGCAGGAUCUUGUUCUUCUUCAGAACGUAGCAAGGGACUAUUAUGCAUUGGCUUUCUCAAACGCGCACGCCAGAAAAAGGAAAUUACGAGGGAACAAGCGGUUAAGGACUUGGAGAUAAGUUAUGAGAGUUCAAAUCUGGCCUUUGGUCUAUAUCUUGCCUUGAUGAUUGUUUCGUCUGAUGCUAAUGUUCAGCCGUAGUAUCAAUGUCCGGAGGUCUAGUCAUACUCUGAUUGCUUCUUUUGGGAUUCAAACCUCUUUUACCAUCUACCCAAAUCUUCUUUAAGUUGGCAGACGAAGAGUAAGAGCACAUUAUUGCGGUGCAUUGCAGGUGAUAUUUGAUAAGAAAUUUAUCAAAAAACCACCUUUACAUGAUGAGUACUGGAGAUUUAUAAUUUGGAAUUGGAGCAGCGUAGAGAAGAACUUCAACAAUUGUUCUUGGCAGAAAGGGUUUGUGAGAAUUGUGUGAUUAGUCCAAGGGGCAUAUUGUUGUAUAAGUUGCCAGAAGGCAAGGGACGUGACACCAAGAGCAAGUCAACUUAAAGAUGUUGGUACUAUUCUCUUGUCUGAUGCUUUUUCUCUGUUUUGCUUUCUUGAAGUUGGAUACUACAUAAUAGCAUAUUUUGUGUAAAGUUGUAUAGCUCAUAUAAAAAAGCAGUUCUUAAUUCUUUCGGAUUGCUA
Durio zibethinus is the source of this 1020-nucleotide long non-coding RNA. RefSeq lists it as uncharacterized. The record is from RefSeq and is a predicted model, not a curated record. Lineage: Eukaryota; Viridiplantae; Streptophyta; Magnoliopsida; Malvales; Malvaceae.